Long non-coding RNA from Dermochelys coriacea (leatherback sea turtle), 1806 nucleotides. RefSeq lists it as uncharacterized. The transcript has 2 exons. The record is from RefSeq and is a predicted model, not a curated record. Lineage: Eukaryota; Metazoa; Chordata; Testudines; Dermochelyidae.
UUAAGAGCAGGUUAGACAAACACUUGUCAAGAAUGGUCUAGAUAAUACUUAGUCCUACCACAAGUGCAGGAGCCUAGAGUAGAUUACCUGUCUAGGUCCCUUCCAGUUCUAUGAUUUUAUUUGUAAAUCAGUGUCAGGAUGAGUUACUUCUAACAGGGCCCCAACUAAAGAUUAUAUAUGACAAUAUGUCCCAUAAUUCCAGCAUAAUCCAUUUGAAAGUGACCCAAAGGAACAACUCUAUUUCUGAGAUGAUCCUUCAAGGCUUAUUUAUUUAUUUAUAGGCAGUUUCUAUUCCCUCCCCCAUCCCAUCUCUCACUGAUUUUGAAACAUGUGCUUCAGCUAAUUCACACAUUUAUUUUGGCACAGUUCAUCCUAGUAGAGAGCCUGUAAGAGGCUCUAUGUACACCCAAUACAUGAUGUACAGGUACACGAUCUCUUGCCACUCAGGUGAAUUUCACCAUCAACCUUUUUGAUAAAUACAAAUCUUUAGUAUGAUAUUGAUCAAUAAAAGAAGAAAGAAUUUAAUGUCUGAUCAUGAACAGUGUUGAGCAUGCCUAACUGCCAUUCAAUACAAGCUGAAGGUGCUCCACAUGUUGCAGGAUCAGCUUGUAACAGCGUUAUUAGCUUGGUAUUAUACAAACUUCCCUACAUAAUUCCACCAAAGCACCAAAAUCCUGACAUGUCUUAUGUCAGACUGCGUAGUGGCUUGGCAACGUGUACAACUUGGAGGAAUCUAUUAAACUUAUUCUAUCCAAGGGCUUGUGUACACUACCACGCGGGGUCAAUCUAAGAUAUGCAACUUCAGCUACAUGAAGAGCGCAGCUGAAGUCGAUGUACUUAGAUCUACUUACCGUGUCGUUGUCACUGCGGUAAGUCAAAGCUGACGCUCUCCCAUCAACUCCGCUUGCGCACCUCGUUUUGGAGGAGUACCGGAGUCGACAGGAGAGCGCUCAGUGGUCGAUUUAUCGUGUCUCUCUAGUAGAUGUGAUAAAUCGACUCCCGCUGGAUCGAUCACUUCCCGCCGAUCUGGCGGGCAGUGUAGACAAGCCCUAAGACCUAAAUCAGGAUUGUAAGCCACAUUCUAAUGCAUCAACUCAAUGAGCCAUAUAACUCCCCAGAAUUUUUCUAGUUAAACACACACAAACUGGUUUGUCACAUGGAGUUUAGGAAUCACUAGUCAAGGUGACCAAUACAUUUUUGUUCAUUCCUUAUCACUCACAAAGGUGGAAAUCUCUACAAGAUUUUCUUGCACGAAGAUCAUUUACCUAUGAGCAGACAAUAAAUGCAUCUAACACUGCAGCAUAAAUGCCAAAAAAAUGGAAAAAGAGUGAUCUGCAAAAAUCACUACUUUUAAUAAUUUUUAUAUUUUUAAAGAUUAUGUAUAUCAUACCAAUAUUAUUUGUAUUUUCUUCCAUUUCCCUCUUAUGUUUCAGAUACAUAGGCCAUACAUGUCCAUCGAAGUAUCCUGGUGGAUCUGCUGGUUGAUAAAUUCUGGUACUACAGAAAAAUAUUUGCUUUCUUUUGCAAGUUUUACAUUUUUUUUUCUGGGGUGCUCACAUAUACCCAUCAUUGUUUAUUUAGUAUGAAUAUCUACCCAAAAUAUUAAGAGAGAGGGAGGCUGUAUAUCUGCUGGUCACAGCAAAGGAGACUCCUUAAUUAUAACAGGAUUUAGCAUAUUGCCCACAUGACCUCUAUCAAAUCACCUAUUUCUGCCUAUCAUUUCAAUUACAAAACAGCAGAUUCUUAUUGAAACAGAUGUUGCAUCUUAAACAAACUUCAUUGCAUAAGUAAGUUACAUAAGAAUAG